CCUACGUGCGGCAGCAGUGAGGAAUAUUGGUCAAUGGACGCAAGUCUGAACCAGCCAUGCCGCGUGCAGGAAGACGGCUCUAUGAGUUGUAAACUGCUUUUGUACGAGGGUAAACGCAGAUACGCGUAUCUGUCUGAAAGUAUCGUACGAAUAAGGAUCGGCUAACUCCGUGCCAGCAGCCGCGGUAAUACGGAGGAUUCAAGCGUUAUCCGGAUUUAUUGGGUUUAAAGGGUGCGUAGGCGGUCGGAUAAGUUAGAGGUGAAAUCCCGGGGCUCAACUUCGGAAUUGCCUCUGGUACUGUUCGGCUAGAGAGUAGUGGAGGUAGGCGGAAUGUAUGGUGUAGCGGUGAAAUGCUUAGAGAUGAUACAGAACACCGAUUGCGAAGGCAGCUUACCGAGCUACUUCUGACGUUGAGGCACGAAAGCGUGGGGAGCGAACAGGAUUAGAUACCCUAGUAGUC
RNAcentral lists this ribosomal RNA (460 nucleotides) under uncultured bacterium. RNAcentral's name for it is "partial 16S ribosomal RNA". It matches the Rfam family "Bacterial small subunit ribosomal RNA", at positions 338 to 795 of the family's 1533-position model. The record is from RNAcentral.